GGAUGAAGAACGUAGCGAAAUGCGAUAAGUAGUGUGAAUUGCAGAAUUCAGUGAAUCAUCGAAUCUUUGAACGCACAUUGCGCCCUUUGGUAUUCCAAAGGGCAUGCCUGUUCGAGCGUCAUUUGUACCCUCAAGCUUUGCUUGGUGUUGGGCGUCUUGUCUCUAGCUUUGCUGGAGACUCGCCUUAAAGUAAUUGGCAGCCGGCCUACUGGUUUCGGAGCGCAGCACAAGUCGCACUCUCUAUCAGCAAAGGUCUAGCAUCCAUUAAGCCUUUUUUUCAACUUUUGACCUCGGAUCAGGUAGGGAUACCCGCUGAACUUAAGCAUAUCAAUAAGCGGAGGA
Molecule: unclassified non-coding RNA, 342 nt
Filed under: soil metagenome
Description: partial contains 5.8S ribosomal RNA, internal transcribed spacer 2, and large subunit ribosomal RNA
Rfam family: 5.8S ribosomal RNA (bases 2-121)
Source: RNAcentral